RNAcentral lists this transfer RNA (69 nucleotides) under Rattus norvegicus (Norway rat). It matches the Rfam family "tRNA". Rfam says of the family: Transfer RNA (tRNA) molecules are approximately 80 nucleotides in length. Their secondary structure includes four short double-helical elements and three loops (D, anti-codon, and T loops). Lineage: Eukaryota; Metazoa; Chordata; Mammalia; Rodentia; Muridae. The record is from Rfam by way of RNAcentral.
GGGGAUUUAGCUCAGCGGUAGGGCGCUUGCCUAGCAAGCACAAGGCCCUGGGUUCGGUCCCCAGCUCCG